RNAcentral lists this long non-coding RNA (530 nucleotides) under Nicotiana benthamiana. RNAcentral describes it as "long non-coding RNA (NBEN_LNC041554)". The record is from RNAcentral. Lineage: Eukaryota; Viridiplantae; Streptophyta; Magnoliopsida; Solanales; Solanaceae.
UCUGAGUGUUCCACCAGUAAGUUAGCCAUGGAAGAUAGUGAGCAACCCGAAGUGUCCAUUGAUCGGGGAGAAGUUGAUCGUAGUAUGAUUUUCGAGAUAAAUUUGCAGGGAAACUAGGCCACCAGUAGUUAACCACAGGUGUUAGAAGAGCCCCUCCUGCUAAUCUGUUACAAAUUGCCAAAAUGACAAAAAAUCAAUGGGGAGAAGUUGAUCGUAGUAUGAUUUUCUAGAUAAAUUUGCAGGGAAACUAGGCCACCAGUAGUUAACCACAGGUGUUAGAAGAGCCCCUCCUGCUAAUCUGUUACAAAUUGCCAAAAUGACAAAAAAUCAAUCAUAAAGUAUAUUCAAGACACAAUCAAAUAAACAAAAGCACGCUCUUUGACAGACGAUCAUAUAUUUCCAAAUGGUAUUAGAGCAGACAAACGCCCCGAGUUCGAGUCUUACUCUGCCGCCAUCCUUUAACCGCAGUUUAAACAGCAGCAAAUGGUAGUAAAAAGUAUUGAACAAUACCUAUGAGGAAUAUAUUUGAG